This 497-nucleotide ribosomal RNA is filed under the name uncultured bacterium. RNAcentral's name for it is "partial 16S ribosomal RNA". It matches the Rfam family "Bacterial small subunit ribosomal RNA", at positions 28 to 507 of the family's 1533-position model. The record is from RNAcentral.
GAUGAACGCUGGCGGCGUGCCUAAUACAUGCAAGUCGAGCGAACAGAUGAGGAGCUUGCUCCUCUGACGUUAGCGGCGGACGGGUGAGUAACACGUGGAUAACCUACCUAUAAGACUGGGAUAACUUCGGGAAACCGGAGCUAAUACCGGAUAAUAUAUUGAACCGCAUGGUUCAAUAGUGAAAGACGGUUUUGCUGUCACUUAUAGAUGGAUCCGCGCCGCAUUAGCUAGUUGGUAAGGUAACGGCUUACCAAGGCAACGAUGCGUAGCCGACCUGAGAGGGUAAUCGGCCACACUGGAACUGAGACACGGUCCAGACUCCUACGGGAGGCAGCAGUAGGGAAUCUUCCGCAAUGGGCGAAAGCCUGACGGAGCAACGCCGCGUGAGUGAUGAAGGUCUUCGGAUCGUAAAACUCUGUUAUUAGGGAAGAACAAAUGUGUAAGUAACUAUGCACGUCUUGACGGUACCUAAUCAGAAAGCCACGGCUAACUACGUG